GCGGUACAGACAGCUGUGUUAUGUGUGUGAGUCCGACUGUUAUUUGGCGUUGCUACGUUACCUGGACUCUACAUUUGACAGUGGGGAGAAGGGCAAGGGGAACCCUCCAGAGAGGGACAAGCCACAAGGCAGAUCCCUGGCCCAGCAUUCAAGUGAGCAGGGUGCCGCUGUAUCUAUGUGGAAAUCCAGGCAGCCGGGGAAUGCGGGGGGAAUCGAGUGCGGAGCCCGUGACUCAAGCCGGGACAUGUGUGAUCCUCUGAGCGGUGAGAGGGUCAUGUGAAUCCCAGGCUGGACCGCCGCGCCCAGGGACACGGCACUCCUCCCUCCCGGCUGACGCUCAGCCCCUCCCUUCCUCAGUCCAGGCCUCGAUCUUCAGGCUUUUUCUGGGGAUACCCACUAUUUAUGUGGGCAGAGCGUUGCCAUGGCUGCUAAUAACAAACUUAACGUCUGCCGUUUCUGCAACCGCGGCCCGCGGCGGCCCGGCAGGACCAGGGACUCUGACUUCGGUUGUUGUCAUCGUUUUUGCAGCUCUGCCCGUUCUAAAAAAGUGCAUUUCACGGUCACAUGCUGUUAACUUUGUUUAUGAGUAAAUUUGCCUGCUGACUCAGGGAACAAUCCACAUGUCAUGGGAACAGAUGACUGUGUUCUGACUCCGUCACAUCUGUUCAAAUGGAUCCAGAACUUGACUCCCCUCAAAGUGUGGAGAAAAAAUGUCCCUGUCAUCAGACUAAAGUUCUACUGACAUCAGUCGAACCAAAGCAGCUUGCAUUUCAGGUACUGCACUAAAAACUGCUUUCUGCGAAAGACCAACUAAAAACACGGUGGAAAAAAGACGGCGUUCCCCGUCCCCUCGUAGGAACGUUGACGGUGGAGGAUUGCCAGAAUGCAGUAUUUAAUCACAGAUAAGACUGCACUGUACCAUGGUGACCAGGUAAAACUGACAUUGCUGCACCUUGGUGGUUGAUGAAGGGCAUUCAAGCAGAAAGCUGGAACUGUUCAUAUUUACUCACAGUGAUUGAAGUUGAAGGACCGGAUGUGAAAAGAGGUCAAACUCAAAAUACUCAUUUAAAAAGCUUUAAAUUAUGGACAGUGGAAGGACGUCACACAGCCAAGAUUUAAUUGUACAGUAACUCUAGUUUUCAUUCAUAUAUAUUUUUCUUUCUCAUAUAUGGCUCGAAGGCUACUUUGGAUACUGCAUGUGGAAGAAUGGCUUUGCCAGUGACUGAGGUGUGCAAAGUUGUGAAAAUGCAAUUAUUGAUGAAGAUCAUCGAGAAUAUUGGAGGUCUUCGUAGCUCGGCUCGAUGGCUGAGGUGUUCGGUUGUUCGCCGAGCUUGGCAUUUAAGUUACAAACGUUUCAUCGCCAGUCGAGGUGACGUCAUCAGUGCGCAAGUUCUGUGAUUUGUGUUGGAUGCUUCCUCCUUUAUAUGGACUUUGAUGGGUGGGUUUGCCUGAAGCUUGGACGUGAUUGGUUGGUUUCAUGUGACCUUGAGCACGAGCGGUUCAAUUAUUGAUCUCUAAUUCCUAAAAUGCAUGAAAAUGAAUAAAUUUAAAUAUUACAUUUAUCUGACGCUUUUC
Long non-coding RNA from Scleropages formosus (Asian bonytongue), 1575 nucleotides. Lineage: Eukaryota; Metazoa; Chordata; Actinopteri; Osteoglossiformes; Osteoglossidae. The record is from Ensembl.